Molecule: ribosomal RNA, 461 nt
Filed under: uncultured Bacteroidota bacterium
Lineage: Bacteria; Pseudomonadati; Bacteroidota
Description: bacterial SSU rRNA
Rfam family: Bacterial small subunit ribosomal RNA
Source: RNAcentral
CCUACGGGGGGCUGCAGUAAGGAAUAUUGGGCAAUGGAGGCAACUCUGACCCAGCCAUGCCGCGUGAAGGAUUGACGGCCCUCUGGGUUGUAAACUUCUUUUGUACGGGAAUAACCCUCCGAACGUGUUCGGAGCUGAAGGUACCGUAAGAAUAAGGAUCGGCUAACUCCGUGCCAGCAGCCGCGGUAAUACGGAGGAUCCAAGCGUUAUCCGGAUUUACUGGGUUUAAAGGGUGCGUAGGCGGAUUGAUAAGUCAGUGGUGAAAUCCUGCAGCUUAACUGCAGAACUGCCAUUGAUACUGUUAGUCUGGAGUAUGGUUGAGGUAGCUGGAAUGUGUCAUGUAGCGGUGAAAUGCUUAGAGAUGACACAGAACACCGACGGCGAAGGCAGGUUACCAACCCAUUACUGACGCUGAGGCACGAAAGCGUGGGGAUCAAACAGGAUUAGAUACCCCUGUAGUC